CAGUCGAGCGGUAACAGAUCCAGCUUGCUGGAUGCUGACGAGCGGCGGACGGGUGAGUAAUGCAUAGGAAACUGCCCAGUAGUGGGGGAUAGCCCGGGGAAACCCGGGUUAAUACCGCGUACGCCCUUCGGGAGAAACGGGGCUAUCUUCCGACCUUGCGCUAUUGCCUGUGCCUAAUUCGGAUUAUGUAGUUGGUGGGGGAAAGGCUUACCACGGCGACUAUCUGUACCUGGUCUGAGAGGAUGAUCAUCCGGAUUGAGACUGAGCCCCGGCCCCAACUCCUACGGGAGGUGGCGAUGAUUGGACUUGGACGGUGGGGGCAACCCUGAUCGCCCCUGCCGCGUGUGUGACCAUGGCUUUCGGGUUGCUUUCACUUUCAGUGAGGAGGAAAACUCUAAUACCCGCACUCAUAGGGCUUGUCGUUACUCAAGAACAAGCACCGGCUAACUCCGUGCCAGCAGCCGCGGUAAUACGGAAGGUGCAAUCGUUAAUCCGGAUUACUGGGCGCACAGCGCGCGUUUGUAGUUUGAUAUGUGAGAUGUGAAGGCUCCAGCUGUAAACUGGGUACGGAACUGUCAACUGUCAGUGUAGAAUAUGGUAGAGGAAAUUGCAGUUUCCCGUGUAAC
RNAcentral lists this ribosomal RNA (626 nucleotides) under Marinobacter sp. Its description in RNAcentral is "bacterial SSU rRNA". It matches the Rfam family "Bacterial small subunit ribosomal RNA", at positions 59 to 679 of the family's 1533-position model. Lineage: Bacteria; Pseudomonadati; Pseudomonadota; Gammaproteobacteria; Pseudomonadales; Marinobacteraceae. The record is from RNAcentral.